CCUACGGGUGGCAGCAGUGAGGAAUAUUGGUCAAUGGGCGCGAGCCUGAACCAGCCAAGUAGCGUGAAGGAUGACUGCCCUACGGGUUGUAAACUUCUUUUAUAAAGGAAUAAAGUGAGGCACGUGUGCCUUUCUGUAGGUACUUUAUGAAUAAGCAUCGGCUAACUCCGUGCCAGCAGCCGCGGUAAUACGGAGGAUCCGAGCGUUAUCCGGAUUUAUUGGGUUUAAAGGGAGCGUAGACGGGUUGUUAAGUCAGGUGUGAAAGGUUGCGGCUCAACCGGAGAAUUGCAAUUGAUACUGGCAGUCUUGAGUACAGGUGAGGUAGGCGGAAUGCGUGGUGUAGCGGUGAAAUGCUUAGAUAUCACGAAGAACUCCGAUUGCGAAGGCAGCUUACUGAAGUGCCACUGACAUUGAGGCUCGAAAGUGUGGGUAUCAAACAGGAUUAGAUACCCUGGUAGUC
This 460-nucleotide ribosomal RNA is filed under the name uncultured bacterium. Its description in RNAcentral is "partial 16S ribosomal RNA". It matches the Rfam family "Bacterial small subunit ribosomal RNA", at positions 338 to 795 of the family's 1533-position model. The record is from RNAcentral.